RNAcentral lists this long non-coding RNA (333 nucleotides) under Gossypium barbadense (sea-island cotton). Its description in RNAcentral is "long non-coding RNA (GBAR_LNC021205)". The record is from RNAcentral. Lineage: Eukaryota; Viridiplantae; Streptophyta; Magnoliopsida; Malvales; Malvaceae.
CAAAUUUGGCAAGUUGCCAACUAAAAUAAUACAAGUCAAAAGCUGAAAAUAAAUCAGCUAUUACAUCCAUCAUUUUCAUAUCUUACUAACUCUAGAAAUCAAGUUACAUGUCAACUUGAUUGCUUUACAAAAAAAUCAAAAUAAACAAAAUGAAACAAGCAGCUCCUGUUCGAUUCUAAAGCUGGUCUGCUGCUGCUGGUGAGCUUUAUGGGUACCUGUUGCAUUGCAGUCCAUGCUUAACAGGAUAUAGUUAGAUUUUGUCAAAAUUUUCAAUAUAUUUGAAGGACCAUUAGAGUUCAUACCCUCAUAUUCAUGUAUCGGACAUAGUUGUUG